CAAGUACUCAAUUACUGACUACCACAAAGAGCAUUUCAAGACAGCUGGAGAGAUUAUGGCAGUCAGUAUAGUACAAGGUGGUCCUCCACCUAACUUUUUCAGAGAGUGGUGCUAUGGAUACAUAUCCACUGGGGAGAUGGAUAGAGAUUCCAUUUCCAAGGAAGAUGUGACUGAUCCAGAGCUCAGCCAGCUUAUGGAAGAGGUUGAGAUGGCUGAACCUGAAGCUAUGUA
Long non-coding RNA from Trematomus bernacchii (emerald rockcod), 231 nucleotides. RefSeq lists it as uncharacterized. The transcript has 3 exons. NCBI's taxonomy places the organism in Eukaryota, Metazoa, Chordata, Actinopteri, Perciformes, Nototheniidae. The record is from RefSeq and is a predicted model, not a curated record.